UUAAGCGACUAAGCGUACACGGUGGAUGCCCUGGCAGUCAGAGGCGAUGAAGGACGUGCUAAUCUGCGAUAAGCGUCGGUAAGGUGAUAUGAACCGUUAUAACCGGCGAUUUCCGAAUGGGGAAACCCAGUGUGAUUCGUCACACUAUCAUUAACUGAAUCCAUAGGUUAAUGAGGCGAACCGGGGGAACUGAAACAUCUAAGUACCCGAGGAAAAGAAAUCAACCGAGAUUCCCCCAGUAGCGGCGAGCGAACGGGGAGCAGCCCAGAGCCUGAAUCAGUGUGUGUGUUAGUGGAAGCGUCUGGAAAGGCGUGCGAUACAGGGUGACAGCCCCGUACACAAAAAUGCACAUACUGUGAGCUCGAUGAGUAGGGCGGGACACGUGGUAUCCUGUCUGAAUAUGGGGGGACCAUCCUCCAAGGCUAAAUACUCCUGACUGACCGAUAGUGAACCAGUACCGUGAGGGAAAGGCGAAAAGAACCCCGGCGAGGGGAGUGAAAAAGAACCUGAAACCGUGUACGUACAAGCAGUGGGAGCACGCUUAGGCGUGUGACUGCGUACCUUUUGUAUAAUGGGUCAGCGACUUAUAUUCUGUAGCAAGGUUAACCGAAUAGGGGAGCCGAAGGGAAACCGAGUCUUAACUGGGCGUUAAGUUGCAGGGUAUAGACCCGAAACCCGGUGAUCUAGCCAUGGGCAGGUUGAAGGUUGGGUAACACUAACUGGAGGACCGAACCGACUAAUGUUGAAAAAUUAGCGGAUGACUUGUGGCUGGGGGUGAAAGGCCAAUCAAACCGGGAGAUAGCUGGUUCUCCCCGAAAGCUAUUUAGGUAGCGCCUCGUGAAUUCAUCUCCGGGGGUAGAGCACUGUUUCGGCAAGGGGGUCAUCCCGACUUACCAACCCGAUGCAAACUGCGAAUACCGGAGAAUGUUAUCACGGGAGACACACGGCGGGUGCUAACGUCCGUCGUGAAGAGGGAAACAACCCAGACCGCCAGCUAAGGUCCCAAAGUCAUGGUUAAGUGGGAAACGAUGUGGGAAGGCCCAGACAGCCAGGAUGUUGGCUUAGAAGCAGCCAUCAUUUAAAGAAAGCGUAAUAGCUCACUGGUCGAGUCGGCCUGCGCGGAAGAUGUAACGGGGCUAAACCAUGCACCGAAGCUGCGGCAGCGACGCUUAUGCGUUGUUGGGUAGGGGAGCGUUCUGUAAGCCUGUGAAGGUGUGCUGUGAGGUAUGCUGGAGGUAUCAGAAGUGCGAAUGCUGACAUAAGUAACGAUAAAGCGGGUGAAAAGCCCGCUCGCCGGAAGACCAAGGGUUCCUGUCCAACGUUAAUCGGGGCAGGGUGAGUCGACCCCUAAGGCGAGGCCGAAAGGCGUAGUCGAUGGGAAACAGGUUAAUAUUCCUGUACUUGGUGUUACUGCGAAGGGGGACGGAGAAGGCUAUGUUGGCCGGGCGACGGUUGUCCCGGUUUAAGCGUGUAGGCUGGUUUUCCAGGCAAAUCCGGAAAAUCAAGGCCGAGGCGUGAUGACGAGGCACUACGGUGCUGAAGCAACAAAUGCCCUGCUUCCAGGAAAAGCCUCUAAGCAUCAGGUAACAUCAAAUCGUACCCCAAACCGACACAGGUGGUCAGGUAGAGAAUACCAAGGCGCUUGAGAGAACUCGGGUGAAGGAACUAGGCAAAAUGGUGCCGUAACUUCGGGAGAAGGCACGCUGAUACGUAGGUGAAGCGACUUGCUCGUGGAGCUGAAAUCAGUCGAAGAUACCAGCUGGCUGCAACUGUUUAUUAAAAACACAGCACUGUGCAAACACGAAAGUGGACGUAUACGGUGUGACGCCUGCCCGGUGCCGGAAGGUUAAUUGAUGGGGUUAGCGCAAGCGAAGCUCUUGAUCGAAGCCCCGGUAAACGGCGGCCGUAACUAUAACGGUCCUAAGGUAGCGAAAUUCCUUGUCGGGUAAGUUCCGACCUGCACGAAUGGCGUAAUGAUGGCCAGGCUGUCUCCACCCGAGACUCAGUGAAAUUGAACUCGCUGUGAAGAUGCAGUGUACCCGCGGCAAGACGGAAAGACCCCGUGAACCUUUACUAUAGCUUGACACUGAACAUUGAGCCUUGAUGUGUAGGAUAGGUGGGAGGCUUUGAAGUGUGGACGCCAGUCUGCAUGGAGCCGACCUUGAAAUACCACCCUUUAAUGUUUGAUGUUCUAACGUGGACCCGUGAUCCGGGUUGCGGACAGUGUCUGGUGGGUAGUUUGACUGGGGCGGUCUCCUCCUAAAGAGUAACGGAGGAGCACGAAGGUUGGCUAAUCCUGGUCGGACAUCAGGAGGUUAGUGCAAUGGCAUAAGCCAGCUUGACUGCGAGCGUGACGGCGCGAGCAGGUGCGAAAGCAGGUCAUAGUGAUCCGGUGGUUCUGAAUGGAAGGGCCAUCGCUCAACGGAUAAAAGGUACUCCGGGGAUAACAGGCUGAUACCGCCCAAGAGUUCAUAUCGACGGCGGUGUUUGGCACCUCGAUGUCGGCUCAUCACAUCCUGGGGCUGAAGUAGGUCCCAAGGGUAUGGCUGUUCGCCAUUUAAAGUGGUACGCGAGCUGGGUUUAGAACGUCGUGAGACAGUUCGGUCCCUAUCUGCCGUGGGCGCUGGAGAACUGAGGGGGGCUGCUCCUAGUACGAGAGGACCGGAGUGGACGCAUCACUGGUGUUCGGGUUGUCAUGCCAAUGGCACUGCCCGGUAGCUAAAUGCGGAAGAGAUAAGUGCUGAAAGCAUCUAAGCACGAAACUUGCCCCGAGAUGAGUUCUCCCUGACCCUUUAAGGGUCCUGAAGGAACGUUGAAGACGACGACGUUGAUAGGCCGGGUGUGUAAGCGCAGCGAUGCGUUGAGCUAACCGGUACUAAUGAACCGUGAGGCUUAACCUU
Molecule: ribosomal RNA, 2900 nt
Filed under: Shigella flexneri
Lineage: Bacteria; Pseudomonadati; Pseudomonadota; Gammaproteobacteria; Enterobacterales; Enterobacteriaceae
Description: bacterial LSU rRNA
Rfam family: Bacterial large subunit ribosomal RNA
Source: RNAcentral